This 248-nucleotide unclassified non-coding RNA is filed under the name Physcia integrata. RNAcentral's name for it is "partial contains 5.8S ribosomal RNA, internal transcribed spacer 2, and large subunit ribosomal RNA". Lineage: Eukaryota; Fungi; Ascomycota; Lecanoromycetes; Caliciales; Physciaceae. The record is from RNAcentral.
CGCACAUUGCGCCCUUUGGCAUUCCGAAGGGCAUGCCUGUUCGAGCGUCAUUACAACCCUCAAGCACUGCUUGGUAUUGGGCCUCGUCCCCGUGACGUCCCCGUAAUCUCGUGGCGGUCCAGUGAGACUUGAAGCGUAGCAAGAUUAUAGAAUCCCCGCUUUGCAAGCACCUCAUUGCGUGCUGGCCAAACAACCCCAUAAUUUCAAUGGUUGACCUCGGAUCAGGUAGGGAUACCCGCUGAACUUAA